GGCCGGUUGGCCCAAUGGCAAGGCGUCUGACUACGAUUGAAAAGGAAACUCAAGGUCAUAAUCAGGAGAUUCUGGGUUCGACCCCCAGGCUGGUCA
Non-coding RNA from Colletotrichum navitas, 96 nucleotides. Lineage: Eukaryota; Fungi; Ascomycota; Sordariomycetes; Glomerellales; Glomerellaceae. The record is from the annotation of a RefSeq genome assembly.